Molecule: ribosomal RNA, 548 nt
Filed under: uncultured fungus
Lineage: Eukaryota; Fungi
Description: eukaryotic LSU rRNA
Rfam family: 5.8S ribosomal RNA (bases 196-349)
Source: RNAcentral
CGUACAGGUCUCCGUAGGUGAACCUGCGGAGGGAUCAUUACAAGAACGCCCGGGCUACGGCCUGGUUAUUCAUAACCCUUUGUUGUCCGACUCUGUUGCCUCCGGGGCGACCCUGCCUUCGGGCGGGGGCUCCGGGUGGACACUUCAAACUCUUGCGUAACUUUGCAGUCUGAGUAAACUUAAUUAAUAAAUUAAAACUUUUAACAACGGAUCUCUUGGUUCUGGCAUCGAUGAAGAACGCAGCGAAAUGCGAUAAGUAAUGUGAAUUGCAGAAUUCAGUGAAUCAUCGAAUCUUUGAACGCACAUUGCGCCCCCUGGUAUUCCGGGGGGCAUGCCUGUUCGAGCGUCAUUUCACCACUCAAGCCUCGCUUGGUAUUGGGCAACGCGGUCCGCCGCGUGCCUCAAAUCGUCCGGCUGGGUCUUCUGUCCCCUAAGCGUUGUGGAAACUAUUCGCUAAAGGGUGUUCGGGAGGCUACGCCGUAAAACAACCCCAUUUCUAAGGUUGACCUCGGAUCAGGUAGGGAUACCCGCUGAACUUAAGCAUAUCA